Molecule: ribosomal RNA, 253 nt
Filed under: uncultured prokaryote
Description: partial 16S ribosomal RNA
Rfam family: Bacterial small subunit ribosomal RNA
Source: RNAcentral
ACGUAGGGUGCGAGCGUUAAUCGGAAUUACUGGGCUUAAAGAGUCCGUAGGCGGCGCAGAAAGUAGGGUGUGAAAUCCCUCGGCUUAACCGAGGAAUUGCGCUCUAAACUACUGUGCUUGAGGAACCUAGAGGUGAGCGGAACUGAUGGUGGAGCGGUGAAAUGCGUUGAUAUCAUCAGGAACACCGGAGGCGAAGGCGGCUCACUGGGGGUUAUCUGACGCUGAGGGACGAAAGCCAGGGGAGCGAACGGGA